This 416-nucleotide unclassified non-coding RNA is filed under the name soil metagenome. RNAcentral's name for it is "partial contains 5.8S ribosomal RNA, internal transcribed spacer 2, and large subunit ribosomal RNA". The stretch from base 1 to 120 matches the Rfam family "5.8S ribosomal RNA", at positions 35 to 154 of the family's 154-position model. The record is from RNAcentral.
GAUGAAGAACGCAGCGAAAUGCGAUAAGUAAUGUGAAUUGCAGAAUUCAGUGAAUCAUCGAAUCUUUGAACGCACCUUGCACUCCUUGGUAUUCCGAGGAGUACGCCUGUUCGAGUGUUAUGAAGCUCUCAAAACGCAAUUGGCUUAAAACCUGAUUGUUGUUUUGGAUUUGAACUUUGCCGUGUUAUAACGGCUGGUUUUAAAAGUAUUAGCUGGUACUAGAACGAAUUGGUUCUACUCAACGUGAUAAUUAUCUGAUAGUUGAGGACAUUCCUUUCACGAGGAAUGGCCAUAGUAAAUUCAAUGGACUGCUUCUAAUCUGGCUUUAAUUCUUUAUUGGAUUAACCACUUUUCAAAUCUGACCUCGAAUCAGGUGGGACUACCCGCUGAACUUAAGCAUAUCAAUAAGCGGAGGA